CCACACCUAAAAAUCUUUCCACGUGAAUUGUUUGUUGCAAUGUUGGGCCUCGCUGGGCUAGGAUUUUCCUGGUUCGGUUGGAGGUCAUCAGGGCGUGUCGUUGCUUUGUGAUUCGUUUUGCAUGGUGUCGCGCGCUCUUUUUGUAAACCCAUUUAAUUGAAACUGAUUAUACUGUGGGGACGAAAGUCUCUGCUUUUAACUAGAUAGCAACUUUCAGCAGUGGAUGUCUAGGCUCGCACAUCGAUGAAGAACGCUGCGAACUGCGAUACGUAAUGCGAAUUGCAGGAUUCAGUGAGUCAUCGAAAUUUUGAACGCAUAUUGCACUUUCGGGUUUUGCCUGGAAGUAUGUCUGUAUCAGUGUCCGUACACUAAACUUGCCUUUCUUGCGUCGUGUAGUCGUCGCUUGGAAUGCGCAGAUGUGAGGUGUCUUGCGGAGCCGUUCUGUCUGUUUCGGACAGGGUAGACGCGCAAGUCCCUUUAAAGUGUGACGUGUUUCUCUGUAGUGCGCUGUGGCAGCUUUUGGUGGCGUGCGGGACGUAGUCUGUGGACGAGUCUGGCGACCUUUGGCGCUUGCAUUGUGGGGAUUCCUUAAUUGGCGGUAUGUUCGGCUUCGGCUUUGACAAUGCAGCUUAUUUUGGUUUCUCUGCGUGAGUGUUGUAUGGGUGAACCGGGUGGUCUGUGGGCGUUUUAUUCGUUUUGCGCGCGUGUCCUUAAUUGUCUUUGUCGUGCUUUUGGGAGCGUCUCAAUUUGGGAAAAUUAAUACUUGUUCUUUUUUGUAAUGAGUAUCUCAAUUGGACCUGAUAUCAGACAAG
RNAcentral lists this ribosomal RNA (812 nucleotides) under Phytopythium oedochilum. RNAcentral describes it as "eukaryotic LSU rRNA". The stretch from base 209 to 363 matches the Rfam family "5.8S ribosomal RNA". The record is from RNAcentral. Lineage: Eukaryota; Oomycota; Peronosporomycetes; Pythiales; Pythiaceae.